GAUGAACGCUGACAGAAUGCUUAACACAUGCAAGUCAACUUGAAUUUGGGUUUUUAACUUAGAUUUGGGUGGCGGACGGGUGAGUAACGCGUAAAGAACUUGCCUCACAGCUAGGGACAACAUUUAGAAAUGAAUGCUAAUACCUGAUAUUAUGAUUUUAGGGCAUCCUAGGAUUAUGAAAGCUAUAUGCGCUGUGAGAGAGCUUUGCGUCCCAUUAGCUAGUUGGAGAGGUAACGGCUCACCAAGGCGAUGAUGGGUAGCCGGCCUGAGAGGGUGAUCGGCCACAAGGGGACUGAGACACGGCCCUUACUCCUACGGGAGGCAGCAGUGGGGAAUAUUGGACAAUGGACCAAGAGUCUGAUCCAGCAAUUCUGUGUGCACGAUGAAGUUUUUCGGAAUGUAAAGUGCUUUCAGUUGGGAAGAAAAAAAUGACGGUACCAACAGAAGAAGUGACGGCUAAAUACGUGCCAGCAGCCGCGGUAAUACGUAUGUCACAAGCGUUAUCCGGAUUUAUUGGGCGUAAAGCGCGUCUAGGUGGUUAUAUAAGUCUGAUGUGAAAAUGCAGGGCUCAACUCUGUAUUGCGUUGGAAACUGUGUAACUAGAGUACUGGAGAGGUAAGCGGAACUACAAGUGUAGAGGUGAAAUUCGUAGAUAUUUGUAGGAAUGCCGAUGGGGAAGCCAGCUUACUGGACAGAUACUGACGCUGAAGCGCGAAAGCGUGGGUAGCAAACAGG
This 735-nucleotide ribosomal RNA is filed under the name uncultured Fusobacterium sp. RNAcentral's name for it is "bacterial SSU rRNA". It matches the Rfam family "Bacterial small subunit ribosomal RNA", at positions 28 to 776 of the family's 1533-position model. Lineage: Bacteria; Fusobacteriati; Fusobacteriota; Fusobacteriia; Fusobacteriales; Fusobacteriaceae. The record is from RNAcentral.